GCCGGGCGCGGUAGCUCACGCCUGUAAUCCCAGCAUUUUGGGAGGCUGAGGCGGGUGGAUCACCUGAGGUCAGGAGUUCGAGACCAGCCUGGCCAACAUGGUGAAACCCUGUCUCUA
RNAcentral lists this non-coding RNA (117 nucleotides) under Gorilla gorilla gorilla (western lowland gorilla). The record is from Rfam by way of RNAcentral. Lineage: Eukaryota; Metazoa; Chordata; Mammalia; Primates; Hominidae.